GCCGGGAUGUAGCGUACAGUGGGAAUGGUGAGGAGAAGGGAAAAGGCUUAGGGGGUGGGAAUUAGGUGCAGGGCCACCAGGGAUGGGGAGGCUGGUGCCUAAUGACAUGAUGCUGGCUUGCAAGGUAGCCCCAGGUCCUGGCAGCAUUUGCACCGCCAUAGUGCUCCUUUCUUUCUCCUCUCCCCUUUUUCCAGCAAAAAAGAAGCUCAAAGAGGAGGUCAGUCUGGAACUGCCCAGCGCAACAAACAGUCUGCUGCAGAGUGUGCAAACCAGAAGAGCUGCAGUGGCUCAGGGUUUCAGCAGGGUAUGAAUGAGAGACGGCCAUUCUCCACAAACAGAGACCCACAAGGAAACUUGGCUCAGGACUGCAGCCCGGCACCCGGCCGCCAGGGACAGAGUGGAGGCACCAACACCUACCAGCCGCUGGACUGUGAUCGAAUUCUGCACGGGGUAAAGGGUGGAAGGAUUUUCUGCAGCGAAUCCUCACAACCUGUCUGUGGCACUGAUGGGAAAACAUACAAAAAUGAAUGUGACUUGUGUUCAGCUGCCAUGAGAGCAUCAGUUUACAUCACAGUAAACUAUCGAGGUGAAUGCCGAAAGACUGUCCCUGAAAUGGUAAGUGCCUCCCUGCUACGGCAUCCUGGUUUUUGUUCUAGUGUGUGUUGGAGUCCCAGCCUGGAUCCUGUAUCUGUGGUGGGAUCAUCAGAGCCCUCUUAGGAGGGUGCAUGUAGUCCACACAUGAAACACACUUCAGAUUCAGGUUUAAGUCAUUUUGAAGCAUAAUUUCCAUGUUUUCCC
Molecule: long non-coding RNA, 798 nt
Filed under: Phasianus colchicus (ring-necked pheasant)
Lineage: Eukaryota; Metazoa; Chordata; Aves; Galliformes; Phasianidae
Description: lncRNA (ENSPCLG00000009318.1)
Source: RNAcentral